GGAAACGAGAGCGGUGGAUCGAGGAAGUAACAGAAUUGGGCAUGUUAAUAAGGUUCAGUAUGUGAAGAGGGAUAUUAAGAAGAGGAAAUGUAGAAAGAUCAAACGGUCUGUUCCCGUAGUCCCUAUGGCGCUUCAGGAACUGUUUGUUUCUUGCAGGGAAGUCUUCAAAGGCCCUGGAACCGUUCCACUGCCUUGUGAUGUUGAAAAGCUCUGCUGCAUUCUUGAUAAUAUGAAGGCAGAAGAUGUUGGACUUAGUAGUAGUUUGCAGUUUUUCAAGCCCAAUGUUCCAGUCAAAGGAACCCCUAGAGUAACAUACACAGCAAUAUACAAGUGCGACAAUUUCUCGUUGUGCAUCUUCUUCCUCCCAGCAACUGGUGUAAUUCCUCUACACAACCAUCCAGGAAUGACUGUUUUCAGUAAGCUUCUGUUGGGGAAAAUGCACAUCAAAUCGUACGAUUGGGUUGAUCCAACCGACAGUGAUGAUCCUGCUCAACCUUGUAAAAGGAGAUUGGCAAAGCUGAAAGCUGAUACUGUCUUCACUUCACCCUGCAGUACCUCUGUUUUGUACCCAACAUCAG
This 578-nucleotide unclassified non-coding RNA is filed under the name Hevea brasiliensis (rubber tree). Lineage: Eukaryota; Viridiplantae; Streptophyta; Magnoliopsida; Malpighiales; Euphorbiaceae. The record is from RNAcentral.